UACGUAGGGCGCAAGCGUUGUCCGGAAUCAUUGGGCGUAAAGCGCGUGUAGGCGGCUGGCUAAGUCCGCUCUGAAAGCCCGGGGCUCAACCCCGGGAGGCGGGUGGAUACUGGUCAGCUCGAGUCCGGAAGAGGAGUGUGGAAUUCCUGGUGUAGCGGUGAAAUGCGCAGAUAUCAGGAGGAACACCAAUGGCGAAGGCAGCACUCUGGGACGGUACUGACGCUGAGACGCGAAAGCGUGGGGAGCAAACAGG
RNAcentral lists this ribosomal RNA (253 nucleotides) under uncultured bacterium. Its description in RNAcentral is "partial 16S ribosomal RNA". It matches the Rfam family "Bacterial small subunit ribosomal RNA", at positions 524 to 776 of the family's 1533-position model. The record is from RNAcentral.